GGAGUUUGGACCGUGUCUCAGUUCCAAUGUGGGGGACCUUCCUCUCAGAACCCCUACUGAUCGAUGGCUCGGUGGGCCGUUACCCCGCCGACUACCUAAUCAGACGCAUCCCCACUCCCACUAGCGGUAAACCUUUGUCUUCACGUUAGAUGCCUGCUGUGGAGAACAUAGGGUAGUUAAUCCGAUUUUCUACCGG
RNAcentral lists this ribosomal RNA (196 nucleotides) under uncultured Prevotella sp. Its description in RNAcentral is "partial 16S ribosomal RNA". Lineage: Bacteria; Pseudomonadati; Bacteroidota; Bacteroidia; Bacteroidales; Prevotellaceae. The record is from RNAcentral.